RNAcentral lists this long non-coding RNA (1305 nucleotides) under Homo sapiens (human). RNAcentral's name for it is "HSALNT0391863". Lineage: Eukaryota; Metazoa; Chordata; Mammalia; Primates; Hominidae. The record is from RNAcentral.
GAAGAGGAAACAAAAGAAGGAGGUUUGCCGAACAGCCUCGAAUAUUACGGCGGGAGAAGCGAUCAGUUAAUGGCACUGGAUGCAAUGAGGACCUUACAGUUGUUGGCGUCAUCUGGUCAGGAACUCUCUGCAGCUGAGAGUGGAGUGUGACUCGGUGGCCCUGCCACCGAAGCGUGUGAAGAAUCCAACCUCUCCCGUCACCAGCACUUGCCAGAUCUUCGCUCAGUCAACUCUUCGGAUCUUUGCUGGGAGACCACAGGGUUUUCAACGUCAGCCUCCGGCCACCUCCUCGAUUUUGCCUGAGGCACUGGUUGGAGCCUUCCCCUGUGUGGCUCUCCACGGGGUCAGAACACCUGGGACUCAGUCCGUGAAGCAGGAUCCCACCAGGUGGAGGUGCAGGAGACAGUACUGAUGAGUGAGUACCUGGGAGCAACCCUCAGCCAGGUGUGCGCAGGCCAUUGGUGCACCACCGUAGCUUGUGCUGUCUGCCGGAGCUCCCAAGCGGGAUGGAGCGCCUGGCGAUCAUGGUGAUAAUUGUAUGAAUAAGGCAUUUUUAUUGGUUGCCUUCCUGUCCUCAUCUCCUGUCCCCACUCCUGGAUUCCUCUCCCAAUUCAAUGACUUGCAGUCAACUCCUCGUCUCAAAGUCUGCCUUCUGGGGAGCCCAGCUGUGGGCUGCACAGAUGAGAAAAUCCACCCAAAUGGACUCCAUGGCCAGGAACUCAGCAUCAGAUAGAAGCCUGGGGCGUUUAUCUGUUGAGCAUGGGACGCAGCUUGGACAGUGGUUUGCUUUCCUCUCUGAAAUGCACUUUUCCAAGGCCAAAUCGCAGAUAAGCAGCUUCCCCCUGGAGUACCCCUGUUUUAUGCGGGGUAGGGAGGGCCGUGGGUGCGAUUAUGCUGGUCUGGAAGCACACAUUGACUUUAGAUAGUCCACACAGUGCAUGCUCAGUGGAAAAUCGAGAGGUGUUGUGCAUCUUGAGUCACCACCCUCUCUCACCACAGGGUCAAUCAUGAGGGGAGGAAGGGGAGGCAGAGGGAGGAAUGGAACCUGAUGCUGUCGGUGAACCUGAACAUGGACAGAGUGUGGGGGGCUCAGUGGAGUCCACAGAAGCCCCCUCCCAGAAUAAGGAGGCUGCUGGCCGGAGCUGAGUGCAGGGAGGGAGGCAUCUUAUCAGCUCCCGGACCACACUUGCCGUCCUUCCCUCUGGAGGCACCACCCAUUUGCUGUGUGCCAGUAGCAGCAUCAUUGAGACCAGAUUAAAAAUGUCUGUGCCCUUUAAAGGUGGGAUGUUUUAUUUUUUUAUUUGA